UUAAGCGACUAAGCGUACACGGUGGAUGCCCUGGCAGUCAGAGGCGAUGAAGGACGUGCUAAUCUGCGAAAAGCGCCGGCGAGGUGAUAUGAACCCUUGACCCGGCGAUGUCCGAAUGGGGAAACCCAGUGCAAUUCGUUGCACUAUCGUUAACUGAAUACAUAGGUUAACGAGGCGAACCGGGGGAACUGAAACAUCUAAGUACCCCGAGGAAAAGAAAUCAACCGAGAUUCCCCCAGUAGCGGCGAGCGAACGGGGAGCAGCCCGGAGUCUGAAUCAGCUUGUGUGUUAGUGGAACGGUCUGGAAAGUCCGACGGUACAGGGUGAUAGUCCCGUACACGAAAGCACACAUGCUGUGAACUCGAAGAGUAGGGCGGGACACGUGGUAUCCUGUCUGAAUAUGGGGGGACCAUCCUCCAAGGCUAAAUACUCCUGACUGACCGAUAGUGAACCAGUACCGUGAGGGAAAGGCGAAAAGAACCCCGGCGAGGGGAGUGAAAAAGAACCUGAAACCGUGUACGUACAAGCAGUGGGAGCCUCUUUAUGGGGUGACUGCGUACCUUUUGUAUAAUGGGUCAGCGACUUAUAUUCUGUAGCAAGGUUAACCGUAUAGGGGAGCCGAAGGGAAACCGAGUCUUAACUGGGCGUUAAGUUGCAGGGUAUAGACCCGAAACCCGGUGAUCUAGCCAUGGGCAGGUUGAAGGUUGGGUAACACUAACUGGAGGACCGAACCGACUAAUGUUGAAAAAUUAGCGGAUGACCUGUGGCUGGGGGUGAAAGGCCAAUCAAACCGGGAGAUAGCUGGUUCUCCCCGAAAGCUAUUUAGGUAGCGCCUCGUGAACUCAUCUUCGGGGGUAGAGCACUGUUUCGGCUAGGGGGCCAUCCCGGCUUACCAACCCGAUGCAAACUACGAAUACCGAAGAAUGUUAUCACGGGAGACACACGGCGGGUGCUAACGUCCGUCGUGAAGAGGGAAACAACCCAGACCGCCAGCUAAGGUCCCAAAGUCAUGGUUAAGUGGGAAACGAUGUGGGAAGGCACAGACAGCCAGGAUGUUGGCUUAGAAGCAGCCAUCAUUUAAAGAAAGCGUAAUAGCUCACUGGUCGAGUCGGCCUGCGCGGAAGAUGUAACGGGGCUAAACCAUGCACCGAAGCUGCGGCAGCGACGCUUAUGCGUUGUUGGGUAGGGGAGCGUUCUGUAAGCCGUUGAAGGUGUGCUGUGAGGCAUGCUGGAGGUAUCAGAAGUGCGAAUGCUGACAUAAGUAACGAUAAAGCGGGUGAAAAGCCCGCUCGCCGGAAGACCAAGGGUUCCUGUCCAACGUUAAUCGGGGCAGGGUGAGUCGACCCCUAAGGCGAGGCCGAAAGGCGUAGUCGAUGGGAAACAGGUUAAUAUUCCUGUACUUGGUGUUACUGCGAAGGGGGGACGGAGAAGGCUAUGUCAGCCGGGCGACGGUUGUCCCGGUUUAAGCAUGUAGGCGGAGGUUCCAGGUAAAUCCGGUACCUUGUUAACGCUGAGGUGUGAUGACGAGGCACUACGGUGCUGAAGUGAUAAAUGCCCUGCUUCCAGGAAAAGCCUCUAAGCAUCAGGUAACACGAAAUCGUACCCCAAACCGACACAGGUGGUCAGGUAGAGAAUACCAAGGCGCUUGAGAGAACUCGGGUGAAGGAACUAGGCAAAAUGGUGCCGUAACUUCGGGAGAAGGCACGCUGAUGUGUAGGUGAAGCCCCUGCGGGUGGAGCUGAAAUCAGUCGAAGAUACCAGCUGGCUGCAACUGUUUAUUAAAAACACAGCACUGUGCAAACACGAAAGUGGACGUAUACGGUGUGACGCCUGCCCGGUGCCGGAAGGUUAAUUGAUGGGGUUAGCGGCAACGCGAAGCUCUUGAUCGAAGCCCCGGUAAACGGCGGCCGUAACUAUAACGGUCCUAAGGUAGCGAAAUUCCUUGUCGGGUAAGUUCCGACCUGCACGAAUGGCGUAAUGAUGGCCAGGCUGUCUCCACCCGAGACUCAGUGAAAUUGAACUCGCUGUGAAGAUGCAGUGUACCCGCGGCAAGACGGAAAGACCCCGUGAACCUUUACUAUAGCUUGACACUGAACACUGGUCCUUGAUGUGUAGGAUAGGUGGGAGGCUUUGAAGCGUGGACGCCAGUCUGCGUGGAGCCAACCUUGAAAUACCACCCUUUAAUGGCUGGUGUUCUAACGUAGACCCGUAAUCCGGGUUGCGGACAGUGUCUGGUGGGUAGUUUGACUGGGGCGGUCUCCUCCCAAAGAGUAACGGAGGAGCACGAAGGUUGGCUAAUCCUGGUCGGACAUCAGGAGGUUAGUGCAAUGGCAUAAGCCAGCUUGACUGCGAGCGUGACGGCGCGAGCAGGUGCGAAAGCAGGUCAUAGUGAUCCGGUGGUUCUGAAUGGAAGGGCCAUCGCUCAACGGAUAAAAGGUACUCCGGGGAUAACAGGCUGAUACCGCCCAAGAGUUCAUAUCGACGGCGGUGUUUGGCACCUCGAUGUCGGCUCAUCACAUCCUGGGGCUGAAGUAGGUCCCAAGGGUAUGGCUGUUCGCCAUUUAAAGUGGUACGCGAGCUGGGUUUAGAACGUCGUGAGACAGUUCGGUCCCUAUCUGCCGUGGGCGCUGGAGAAUUGAGGGGGGCUGCUCCUAGUACGAGAGGACCGGAGUGGACGCAUCACUGGUGUUCGGGUUGUCAUGCCAAUGGCACUGCCCGGUAGCUAAAUGCGGAAGAGAUAAGUGCUGAAAGCAUCUAAGCACGAAACUUGCCCCGAGAUGAGUUCUCCCUGAGAC
This 2795-nucleotide ribosomal RNA is filed under the name Enterobacter cloacae. RNAcentral describes it as "bacterial LSU rRNA". It matches the Rfam family "Bacterial large subunit ribosomal RNA". Lineage: Bacteria; Pseudomonadati; Pseudomonadota; Gammaproteobacteria; Enterobacterales; Enterobacteriaceae. The record is from RNAcentral. RNAcentral also lists the same sequence under 1 other name.